CCUCUCUUAUCAUGCUUAUCAUUACAUGUAUCAUGUGUAUACCAGGGAGAUGGGGUUUGGUGUGUGCAUUAACGUGUGCAUACAAUGAAAGAUAGCCGAGGUAUAGGCCUUAGUUUGUGUGUAAGUUCAUUGGGCAUGUUGGGUCGUCUCUUCGGUCAAGAGCGUGGGUGCUGUGUGCAUCAUUGCACGGUGCAAGCUUGUGUGUCAAAUACGCGCGAAACGACUAA
This is a long non-coding RNA of Lytechinus variegatus (green sea urchin), 227 nucleotides long. RefSeq lists it as uncharacterized. The transcript has 2 exons. The record is from RefSeq and is a predicted model, not a curated record. NCBI's taxonomy places the organism in Eukaryota, Metazoa, Echinodermata, Echinoidea, Temnopleuroida, Toxopneustidae.